RNAcentral lists this unclassified non-coding RNA (405 nucleotides) under Hevea brasiliensis (rubber tree). Lineage: Eukaryota; Viridiplantae; Streptophyta; Magnoliopsida; Malpighiales; Euphorbiaceae. The record is from RNAcentral.
UGCCAAAGGAGAGUAAGAGUCCUUGUAAGUUUUCCGAUUUUUCUUCUUCAUUAAAUGUUGUUUGAUUCACUAAUUGCUUAUUAUUACAUAAUUUUUAUAUUUAAGCAUUUUUAUCUAAAAACUAUACCCUUAAUUAAGAAACUCUCACAUUUUUUUAAUUAUUCAAAUUAGAAAGCUGUUUGUUGAGUUGCUGGCCACUUGCCCCACUACAAUAAUAAUAUAGAAACAAUGACCAUUGGAGGGGUUAUUCCUAGGUUUUUUUUUAAUAUAUUUUUUUUGUUAUUGUGUACUAUAUUUUAUAAUAGCAAAAAAAAAAAAAAUCUAAGUUAUCUAUUCUACCUAGGGGGUCUUUUCAUUAUUUAUUAUGCAACACUGGUUUGGGUUCUUCACACAUCAUAGGUAUCA